UGUGUAGGCGGAAAAUUAAGCGUUGUGUGAAAUCCCCCGGCUUAACCGGGGAACUGCACAACGAACUGGUUUUCUUGAGGCAAGUAGGGGUGCAUGGAACUCUUGGUGGAGCGGUGGAAUGCGUAGAUAUCAAGAGGAACGCCAGCGGAGAAAUCGGUGCACUGGGCUUGUCCUGACGCUGAGACACGAAAGCGUGGGUAGCGAACAGGAUUAGAUACCCUGGUAGUCC
Molecule: ribosomal RNA, 229 nt
Filed under: uncultured bacterium
Lineage: Bacteria
Description: partial 16S ribosomal RNA
Rfam family: Bacterial small subunit ribosomal RNA
Source: RNAcentral